AGCUGAUCGCUAAGUUAAGAGCUGUCUGGUGCCUUUCCGAACGGUAGGUGCGCGUGAAAAUUUCCCGAUUUUUUGUUGUUCUAAAGUGAUUCACUUGAUUGGAUUAAGUGAUAUUUGAGUGAUUUAGAAAUACGGCGAAGCUGUGAAUGAAGGGACAAAUAAGACCAAUCUUCGGAACUUCGUGAGCGUGACUAGAAAAAUUUGAUCGAAAAAGAAUACGUGAGUCAAAAACAAACGAGACCGGUAGCAUCGACAGUAUAUUGGCAACAUAGUAUAUUAGUUUGCACGCUGAAACGAGGAUUCUUCGCUGCGCUAUGCAACUUCUCCGAAUUGCGGUGCUAGCGACGGUGAUCGCUGUCUCGCUGGCUUUUCCGAUGCCGCAAGACUCAGUGAAGGCCGAAAUCGCACCAGUAGUGGAACAGAACCCGGUCCCCGUUGUGGCUGCAGGGCCCACAAAGAAGGUGACCGAACAGAAAGACGAAGAAGUUUUGGAGACUGAGAAGAUCGUAAUCAAUGUUGAAGUUAAAGCUGUACCGACAACUUCCAAGAUACCGGCCACUCUAGAGAUUACAGAAAUUCAUGAACAAAAGGAAAAACCAAUAGAAACUGUCAAAGUUGCAGACAUCAAAGCAGAGCCGGUGAUAGCAGCUGUUGUCCCAAAAACAGCUGUCUAUGUAGUAAAGAAAGCAGAAAGUGAUCCCGAAGUUGAAAAAUCUACUCCAGUAAUUGUUGAUCAAACUGUUGAUGCAUCCUCGGUUAUUGACGCGUCAGUUCCCAAGAAAGUAGCAAUUGUUUCACAACCGGUGGAAACUAAACCGGAAGAAAAGCAGGAGGAGAAAGUUGUUCCGGUUGUGACCGAUACUGCAGGAGACGAUAGUAAAAUAUCGGAUGAAUCUACUUCACGCCAAGAAGAUAGUGCUAUUCCCGAAAAACCAAUUGAAUCAGUUCCUGUUCUUACCUUUGCUAAAGCAGUCGAAGAAUCGUUGAAGAGCGAUCAAGUGAUCAAUCAGGAUACGGAGGUCAAGGAGGAAUUGAGAAGUGCUACUGACGAGAAAAUUGUUCCAAUUGUUGAAGAAUUACCCAAGGAAUAUACGAAAGUUGAAGCAGAGCCUGCUUAUAAGACAAUUCCAGUUGCAGUGGUUGAGGAUGAACCAAAGAUUGAAGAAGCCAUAAUUAAAACUGUAGAGCAGCCCGAGCCAGCUAAAACAAUUGUUGAGGAACCAAAAGUUAUCGAAGAAAAUAAAGAAACGAAAUCAGUUGUAAAAGCGAAUGAGCCCGAACCAGUAGAACUAAAAGACAUUGAUUCCGUAAAACAGACACCCGUUGUCAAAUCUACAGAACAACAAACAGAAAAGUUGGCUGACAAUCCGGCCAAAUUGGAUAUAGUUCUUUCAGAAUCGGCCGUUGAUAAGCGUGACAGCGUCAAAUCAGACAAAGAGGAACCCAAAGUGUUCAUUGUUGAAGCAAAGCCAGAGGUAAAAGUUGAGGAUGUUUCAAAAGUUGAACAAAACGUAGCUCCAGUGGUUGUGGUAAAAGCAGCUCCGAUUGCAGCCGUGGCUACCGUUGAAAAAAUUCCAGAUACUCAAAAAUUAUCGGAACCCAUUGUGGAAAAUCCUGUAACGGAAACUAAAGUUAAAGCUGAACCUGCUGAACAGGUCGAUGGGAGUUCAAUCAAAGCUAGCACCAAAAGUGAAGUCCCAACGAAACAAGUUGAAGAUAAGAGUGACGGUGACAGUUCUGCCGCUAAAUCAUCCGAAGAAGUUAAGAAGUUGACAGUCGAACAAGAAAAAAUAAUCGAAACGCCUACUGCUGAAACUACCCCAGUCCCAGUCAAACCCGAAAGCAAAAGCAAGGGAAAAAAGAAGUUGCCAGGUUCGAACAAAAAACAAAAUACAAUGUAAAUGAGAAGAAUUGAUUCGAUUGUGGUAUCCUUGCUGUUUAUUUUCUUGCUAACAAGUAAUCCUAAGAGCUAACAUUCGAGGGUAUCGGAAGCGUCUACAACAAGAACAGCAUAAAGCGUAACCAUCAAGGAGCAUUUGGGAACUCUUGGCAAAAUUAUUAACCUAUUGCUGAAUGUAAUUCUAAUAAGUUUGCCAAUAGACACGUUGUUGAUCCUGUAGACGGGAUUGAUCUUCGUUUUAAGGCUUACCUUUUAGGCUCUUAGGUUAAGUUGAUCCUACGUAAUAAGCUAAGUGCAUUUGAGUUUUUGAUGUCAUGAAUGGCCCGAUCAAAACAAAGUAGUAACACUACAACAUAAUACCUUUUUUGAAACAAAGUGUAUCAUAAAAAGCACAUUUAUUGGAUGAAAUAAGGCCAAUUUAGAUCUUGAAAACUGUAAGUUGUUACUAUAUUAUGUUGAUUGGGUCUUACUGGCGGAUUAAAUGCAUUCGUACUAUCAAUCUAUACGGCCAAUACGAAUUAUCAUGUAACAUUCUGUUUAGGCUAAUUUAAGUGAAACGAAAUACAGCUCGAUAAUGAAUAAGA
Molecule: RNA transcript, 2484 nt
Organism: Malaya genurostris
Lineage: Eukaryota; Metazoa; Arthropoda; Insecta; Diptera; Culicidae
Gene name: titin-like
Exons: 3
Source: RefSeq, a predicted model, not a curated record